RNAcentral lists this transfer RNA (80 nucleotides) under Scleroderma citrinum Foug A. It matches the Rfam family "tRNA". Rfam says of the family: Transfer RNA (tRNA) molecules are approximately 80 nucleotides in length. Their secondary structure includes four short double-helical elements and three loops (D, anti-codon, and T loops). Further hydrogen bonds mediate the characteristic L-shaped molecular structure. tRNAs have two regions of fundamental functional importance: the anti-codon, which is responsible for specific mRNA codon recognition, and the 3' end, to which the tRNAs corresponding amino acid is attached (by aminoacyl-tRNA synthetases). tRNAs cope with the degeneracy of the genetic code in two manners: having more than one tRNA (with a specific anti-codon) for a particular amino acid; and 'wobble' base-pairing, i.e. permitting non-standard base-pairing at the 3rd anti-codon position. Lineage: Eukaryota; Fungi; Basidiomycota; Agaricomycetes; Boletales; Sclerodermataceae. The record is from Rfam by way of RNAcentral.
GGGCUUUUGGCACAGUUGGUAGCGCGCAUGCUUCGCACUAUGAUUGCAUGAGGUCGUGGGUUCGACUCCCACAGAGUCCA